UGGAGAGUCGUUUUUGAAAGAAGGAACGACCCACCCCUCUGAUUUUGGAGCACCCAACAACCUUCUUCAACCUUAGAACCAAAACAAGCUGAACCCUAAACCCCCAUAGACCACCAACUGCCGCCAGCCUUAACGCCCAAGACUCGCCAAAAAACGAGCACCAGUGUCGCUGGCUACAAACUAUCCAGCCGCCAGUCAUCUUCGCCAUCUCCAGCCGUCCACCUCCAGCCGUCUCGCCGGAAUUCAACCACCUCCAUACACAAACGACCUCUAUCAGCCUCCACCCUAACCCCGAUCUCCAUCAGCGACCACACCCGCCGAACCCCACCCCAAAAAACGACUUUAGAGACGAAGAAAAAUAGCAACAAUUGCUGCUUCUUCAACUCCUCCUCCCACUAACCAGUGGCGAACUCGCCGAAAAACACACAGCCAAAUCGCUGGAAAGAAAUGGGCCAUGUUGUCGUCCAAGGUUCGUCGGUCCCGGUUCGUUUGUGCAAGGAUUCACGUUCGGAUUUUGUUUUUACUUCUGUUGCUUGCCUUAUUUGAUAUGCAAAGAAAGCAAAUUUUAGUUUGUUCGAUUUGUCGCUGUUUGCACUUGUUCGAGCUUGAAAUUUCGUCACUGACGUUUCAUUUGUCCGUGCGCUCGAUCAGAAAUUAAGUAUAAGGAAUUUGCUUGAUAAGGUUCACUCUAACCCCUUCUCAGUUGUUUCAAUGCUUGGUUACAUUUUAAUGUUGAAUAUUUUUUCCCUUGCUUGUUUGUUUUGUUUUGCUACUCAUUUGUUCUGUUUUAGAAAAUCUAGUAAUGUUCUUUUUGUUUAAUUUUGUUUUUCUUCAUUGAUUUAGUUCUUCUCCAUGUGGUGUUCAUUUGAAAAUUCCAAAUAGUGGAUGCAAGUUAAGUAAUCAGAGUCGUUAAGAGUUUAUAGUAAAUUAAUUUGGGCCUUUUAAUAGUAAUUGGGUUUGGAUUUGUAGAAAUAAAAUCAAAGUGGAUGUUUGGCUGAUACCUUAGGCUUUACACAUACAUAGUCUUUAACGAGUUUAUGUUUUGGAUUAUUGUUAUACCAUGACAAUAUGUUCAAUAGAGUCAUAGUUUAAAUUAAUAUGUUUGUUUGAUAUUUCCGUUAGAAGCAUGCUUAGGCCGGCAACACUCGGGUAGGCAAGCCUUAGGAUUUUGUUAGUUUCAAGGCGAGAGAUCGUUCCUUUAGUUAAAUUUAUCCGGGGAAUGCCCCGAGGGAUUUGUAUAUAUUUUAUUUCAGGGGUAUGCCCCGAAGUGAAUGUAACGGAGGCCGCAUCUACACCGUGGAGGAAGUAUAGUGUAGGUUAGCUUAGAAUUUUACUUUUUAUUAUUUUUAUUUUUAUUUUUCUUUUAUUAGGUGGGGACGACCUAGAUCCUCUUUUGUGUUUAUUUUUGUUUGUGUGUUUUCACCUAAAUUUGAGUAUUCUUAAAAGCCAACUUGAUCAUAUAUGCAACAGUACUAGUUUCGGGACUCGGGGAAUGCCUAACACCUUCUCCCCGAGUCAAAUGAACCCCCUUACCCGAAUCUCUGGUGCAGACUUAGUUUCGGAGUCUAAAGUGUUUUAAAAGGAAAAUCUAUUUCUUAAAAAAUGGCGACCUGGCACACCGAAACCAAUGUCAGGUGGCGACUCUGAGUUAUUUCCUUUUGAACAUAAUUUUUGUCACGUUCUAAUUGGAAAACCCUUUUCAAGCUUUACAAAUCACUUUUAUAUUUUUAAGAGGGUUAGUGAGGUUUGUAAAAAAAGAGUGUGACAUCUCUGGCGACUCUGCUGGGAACUUGCAGGUUCGAGCUAGUACUUGAUCUUGUUGGCUUUUAGGAUAUUCGGUUGAGGUGUUUGUUUUCUUUAUUUGCUUUGUUUGUCUUAUUUCCUUGUUUUGUUGGUUAUUUGUUUAUCGCCUUUCUUAAUGUGCUACUGCUUUAUAAACUGUCAUCAUUUGCAUAACCAUGGGUCUUCUUUCUGCAACAAGUCUCGGAGUACGCGUCGCGUGCACGAACUCUUUGUUGAGUCACCAUUAAUUUAGGAGGGGGGCCGUCGGGCGUAUGGAGUGGGUGGAAAAGCUUGAGCAGCCACCAUCGACCAUACGCUCCCCCGAAUUGCCUUGUUAGUGAACCCCAAACUUAGGUAAGCCUUUAGGUCAUUUUUAUUUGCAUAAUGUUAUUUAGACAUGGCAGGGCUCGGUCCCAGGUAUCGUGUCCCGUCGUAGGAGGCCUAUCCAAAUUAUGUAAAAAAUGAGCCCAUUGCCCAAUGACAUUUAAUCAUCCUAUGUGCUAAAUGUUGCAUCUACGAGGGUAGAAAGGUCAUUUGGCAGACCGAUGUUUUGGAAAGAAGGGUGAAAAAUGAAGCAAGUUAUUUUUCUUUCACAACUUUUUCAAUAAAAAACCAAAUUCUUUUUAUACUUUCCCAUUAUUUUCCCAAACAAAUCAAAAAAAAAAGAAAGAAAAGGAAAGUUCAAAAAGAUUUUGCACUUUCCCAUUAUUUUCCAAAAAAUAGAAAAAAAAAAGAAUUCCAUCAUUUUUUUUCAAAAACUAUAGUUUCUCCAAAUUAGUUGCAUUUUUUAAGCUUUCUCUCGUGUCAGAUCUUCUCGAACUACGCGAACCUGAUUCUCGUCUUUCGGGGCAGGAUACGUAGGCAACUCACAUAGGGUCCGGUCUUUCUUAGUAAGCCUUAGGUUUUUGGCUUCGCGGGGUCUUAGCCAAAUCUUGCAUAUCUAGCCACUUUUGGCCACACCGACUUUGUUGCAAAAUGGGGCUAUUUUGCGAAGUGGCUUAUUGGGCCGUGUUUGGAGAGUCUAGAAUCCACAAUUAGGUGUCUCCCUACUUCAAGGCCCGUUCCUGUUGAAUUUGCGUGUCUAGCCAUUUUUGGCCACAUCGGUCAUUCUUGCAAAAUGGGGUCAUUUUCGCAAAAGUGGUUCAAUUACCCAUGUCUUAGGAUCUUGAGGCCACAACUCGAUAUCAUAUCACUUUAAGGUCCAUCCUUGUCGUGUUUGUGUCCCUAGCCACAUUUGGCCACAUUGACCGUUUUUGCAAAAUGGGUCAUUUUUGCAAAAUAAUUUUGGGCCAUAAUUAUUGGGGGUUUGAAGCCAUAUAAGCCUUACUGAGGCAUUUUUCACGUUUUUGAGGUCAGUCUUGUUGAUUUUACCCUAAUAGCCACAUUUUGGCUACGUAGGUCAUUUUACAAAAAUAGCCUUAAUCAUGCCUUGCAUGUGUCCAAUAGAAGGUGUCGUGGCAUCACAUGUGUCUUGAGUCUAACUCUAUUUGAUCUUAUUUUCCCAUUCAGGUAUGGAUCAGUGUACCAAAGCUCGAGCAUGAUAAAUACCCCAAGACCACUGCAUUUAUGAGUUGCUUAUAAAUACUUUUAUGUUUUAGUCUAUCUUAUGUUGUCUUUUAAUUUUUAGUUUUGUACAGUAGUAUCUAGUCUGUCAAUCUAGUUAUGAUUGUCGAGUCUUUUGUUACAGUACUUCCUGUUUUGUAUUUGAAAAACCAAAAAAAUUACUAAAUGAAAAAUCCCAAAAAAUGUUUGUUUCUUAGUUUAUUUUGUCCAUUAUUUUUUUAGAACUAGGCGUGAUCUGAUUCAUGAGGGGCAUGAUACGUAGGCAACCUACAUAGGGUUCGAUCGAAUAAUCUUUUAAAAAAACAAAGAAAGGAAAAAAAAAAGAAAAAAAGAAAAAAAGAGAUGAAAUUGUGCAUGUGAGAAAUGAGAGGAAAAAAGAGAGAGCGAUAAUUAGAAAGAAAAGAGGGGGAAAGAAAUGAAAAACCAAGCGGUGUUAGAAAGGAAAAUGAAGAAGGAAAAGGGCCAGAAGAGUGAAAUUGGGAUGAAUGCUCUCGAAGCAUAAGUCAUCCCAAUUGUUGUUGCUAGGGGCAUUGCACGGAAUAUGAUAUUUCUCUUUGAUAAAUGCUCUAACGCUAACAUGUUGGCUUUGUUUUGGUCCUCUUUAUUACUUUCAUUGUUAUUAUAAUAGAGGGUGGUUAGUUUUUGGUACUUUGGUGAUUCGUCCAUACAACACCAGAAAGCAUAAGUCAGUCAUGGCUAGCAAAGAAACAGACACUGAGGUUGUACACCCACCAAGGGAGAUUGUAGAAUCAGAAUCGGAACUGAAAGAGGAGGUCUGAAGGUUGAAACAGCAGAUGGAAGAGAUGUAUCAGUCUUGGGUCCGGGGGCAUCCUCCACCUUCAUUCCUCACUAACUACACUGAAAACUCUGCAACUAUCCCACCAUUAUCACAAGCCCAGGUUCCCACUACCGUUGACCUUUCCUCUCAACAUGCACCGGGCUUUACCCCUUACCACAAUUACCCUGGCACUUCCUCCCAAAUUUUCCAUGCUCCACCAGCCAAAACAACCUCAUACCCUGCUCCGACAUCUGCUCCUAUUUUUGUAGCUCCUCUACCAGCUACUCUUCCUCGAUCCUCUAGCGAGACUGUGUUCAAAAUCCUCGAUGCUCAAGGAAAGAGACCCAAGUAAAGUUUAGGGAGUUUUGGUUCAGAUGGAACGAACAAGUUGCUCGGGUCAGUUCUUCGAUUGAUAGAAAAGAUGUUUCUGAGCCCCGCCAAAGACAUGAUCCAGUAGGCAUUCCUACUGAACGUUUUCAGCCUCAAUACCGGCCCCAUAAAUAUCCUCGUACUCCAGAUAAUCCUCACCAAUGAUACUUCCCUCCACAAAAUCCCCAAAGUCAUACCUCACAUCCCCAUUACUCUAUCCGCAAUGCACCGCCAUAUGCUCCACACUCACAAAACCCGCAACGGAUUGCACCGCCUCCAUAAAUGUCCUACCCACCUCUACAAGCAUAUCAACCCCCUACCCAAAAGAGGUUCCAACCAAGGUUGGAGUACAAAAUGAGGAGGCAGUAGCAAAGAGAAAAGUCUUUCACUCCAAUCGAAGAAUCCUACACAAGCUUGUUUGAAAGGUUAAAAUAGUCUAGCCUGAUUGAGCCGCUCAUCGACUAUACUCCGGACCCAUAUGCAAAAGGUUUUGAUUCUACUGUACGGUGCAUGUACCACUCUAAUGUCCAGGGGCAUAACAUUGAAGAUUGUCGUGCUUUGAAAAGGGAGAUAAAAAGAAUGAUUCAAGAAUGGAUAAUUGUGGUCCAAGACAGUGUCACCCAGAACAUCGCGCAGAUUCCUUUACUUGCACAUGAUAAUGCACACUUUGUGGGAGAGAUGUGUGGUGAUAAGGAGUAUGAGAAUCCUCUGGGGAACUUGCUGACUGAAGUGAAUGAUAUUGAAAUUGAUGAAGGUCCCAGUAAUUUUGAUGUACAACCCAGUGGAUAAGACGUCGAGCUUGGUAAUUGGAAAGACACUCCUUUCUUGGUAAUUGGAAAGACACCAGGGAGGAGUUUCGAUGGCUUAUUUUGUUGUUAUUUCUGUUUGUCCAGGUUAUUUCGGGGUUGUACUCCGGACAUUGUCUUGUGGAUCAAACCCUUCUGUUUCUUAUUUUACCUAGUUCGUUUAGUGAUAGUAACUCGUGUAGUGUUAUCUAGGAUUGUUCCAGGGUUGUAACCCAUGUCUAUUUUGCUUGUUUUGUUCAAACCCUUCUCAUCAUCUGUCUAAUGCAAUCUCAUGUUUUUUGUUAGUUCUAGUCAGUUUCGUUUAGGUCAUUUUUUCUUUUAUAAUUCUUUUCAUGCUAACUCUAGUAACAUGACAUGCACACAUAAUUCUCAGCCUGGUCUUGAAAGUUAGUCUAAUCAUGAAGUAAUGACGCGGUUUUUGAAUAUGAUAAAAGAGGCAUUUGAGGAAACAAGUAGAGAUUCACGCAUUCUAAGAUUACCUGAAAUUUAAAUUGAGUGAAACCGAGAUAGUAAAUCUGGGAAAUCAAGAGGUUGAUAAGAGCAUACAAUAAGGAAAUGUCUCUCAAGCAGUUUGAGAAUAACCAGUCAGUGCUGAAAUGCAUUCUUCCACAUCAAUAUAAGGUUGAGUCAAGUCUGAUUCGAAUUGGUAAGGAUCAUUCAUUGGACCAAAGGUAUUGCUUGUCGGCACUUUUAGUUUGUGAUGAUGCCAUCAAUAGAUAUUGUACAUGAUUUCUUUGCUUAUCUUCAAUUGCAUGUUUGUACUUGGCAUUUUAAAGUUUAGUAUGACGAAGGCAUUUUAUUCUGCUACCCCAAACAUUUUUAUCUUUUACUACCCCUUUUGAGCCUUAAUUUUCAACUUUACUACCCCUCUUUUGGAAUCAGAAGUAGAGUUGGGAACUAGAAAAGAAAAAGAAAAGAUAAAAAGAAGAAAAAGAAGAGAAAAAGAAAAAAAGAAAAAGAAAGAAGGAAAAGAAAAAAACAUUAUUUUUUGAACUACGUUCGACCUGAUUCUUGUCACCACAAGAUACGUAGGCAGCCUUACGGGUUCGGUCGCACCAAAUAAAAUAUUUCAUGAUCUUCCGAAGUCAAGAGUGGGGCAGAUUUUCUUAGAAAUCCCAUCAAAAUAAAAGGCAAAAAGCAAAAAAAAAAAUCCCCAAACUCCAAGAAACUGGGGCAGAAGUUUUAAUUUUGCCAAAAGGCCUAAUUCCAAAAGUUAUAAAUUUGAACCAUUUCAUCUUAAAUUAUUUUGAGCCUUCAUGCCACCCUUUCUUUCUAACCCUGUCCAAAAGCCUAUAUUACGGUCCAAAGAAAGACCUUCCAACCAAUCUUUGAGGAUGUCAAAUAAAGUGUGCGGUAAAAGUCUGAUCUUCUUGUAUCAUGGGUAAUACCUUGUUCUCAUCGCAAAGAGAGAAAAUGAUAAAAUGAGAGAGUCUUUUUGGUGAAAACACUCAUGGUCACCGUAAGGCGAUAGUGAGUUGAGAAAAAGAGCAAAAUAAGAGAGACUUGAUGGUGAAAACCCUUCAGGGCACUACAAGUCGAUUAAGGAUUGUGGACCAGAUGGGACAAUUGAAGCGCUGAAGCCCAGUUUCACAGCGAAGAGGUACAACAAGAGUUGAAUAAUAGACUCGCUUGAGAGAUUAGGCCACUUAAUCCAAAGGUAUGUGUCAUGGUCAUUAGAGUUGGUAUCCACAUCUGAUAAGUUUCUACUUUGUAAUUUUCUUGUUAGGUACCAUCUCUUUUCCUUGUUCCUUAUAUUGUUCCUCUUGUUUUGUUUGAGUCCCUUCUUGAGUCUAUUUGGUCAGAACAAGUGAGAAAUGACUUCAAAAUUUGCUACCAACUUUCCAAUUGCACAAAAUGAACUUGGCUAUCACAUCAAAGUGGCAUAAGUCAGGGAAAAGUGGUAUGCACACUGAGUUGGUAACAAUCAACAUGCUUUAGGAUUCAUGUGAAAUGCAAGGGUUCGGUAAAUGUCAAUUCAUGAGCAAAAUGCAACGGAUAGAGGAUAUUGGGAUCGAAUGGAAAAUAGGUAUUUUCUGUGAUAAGGGUUGAAAUAAAAUGGGUAGUCGAUGACAGACAAAGUUUUCCAAGUUGAAAUCAAAGUUAUCUUGGCAAGUGCAGAAGCAACCGCCUUCAAGGUCAAGGCCAUAAACUAACCAUCACAUUUAAACUCACAAGUUUUCUUUGUUUGAAACAGGAACAAAGCAGUGCAAGCAAGUGGGUUCAAAAACAAGAAAAAAGAAAAAAGAAAAAAAAGAAGAGAAGAAUCGACAAAGGGAAGUUUCUCAAAUCAUUUCCCUUAUCUAUCUUGUUAGUGUGCCUAAAAUGUUGCCAUUGCUCUUCACAUUUUUCCUCCUAGGAUAAAAAGUCCUAGUCUGGUGGAUUUUCCUCCCAAUCAAAUCUUAGUCUGAUAAAUUUUUCUCCUAAGAUAGAAAACCUAGUUUGAUGAAUUUUCUCCUAGGAUAGAAAUCUUAGUCUGAUGAAUUUGUCUCCUAAGAUAACAAAAAGACCUAGUCUGAUGAAUUUUCUCCUAGGAUAAAAAUCUUAGUCUGAUGAAUCUUUCUCCUAAGAUAACAAAAAAACCUAGUCUGAUGAACUUUCUCCUAGGAUCAAAAUCUUAGUCUGAUGAAUCUUUCUUCUAAGAUAACAAAAAGAUCUAGUCUGAUGAAUUUUCUCCUAGGAUCAAAAUCUUAGUCUGAUGAAUCUUUCUCCUAAGAUAAGAAGGACCCAGUCUGAUGAAUUUUCUCCUAAGAUCAAAAUCUUAGUCUGAUAAAUUUUUUCAUAGGAUAAAAUCUUAGUGUGAUGAAUCUUUCUCCUAAGAUAAAAAGACCUAGUCUGAUGAACUUUCUCCUAGGAUCAAAAUCUUAGUCUGAUGAAUCUUUCUCCUAAUAUAACAAAAAGGGACCUAGUCUGAUGAAUUUUCUCCUAGGAUCAAAAUCUAAGUAUGAUAGAUCUUUCACCUAAGAUAAAAAGACCUAGUUUGAUGAACUUUCUCCUAGGAUCAAAAUCUUAGUAUGAUGAAUCUUUCUCCUAAGAUAACAAAAGGGAUCUAGUCUGAUGAAUUUUCUCCUAUGAUCAAAAUCUUAGUCUGAUGAAUCUUUCUCCUAAGAUAAGAGACCCAGUCUCUUGAAUUUUCUCCUAGGAUCAAAAUCUUAGUCUGAUGAAUCUUUCUACUAAAAUAACAAAAGGGACCUAGUCUGAUGAAUUUUCUCCUAGGAUCAAAAUCUUAGUAUGAUGAAUCUUUCUCCUAAGAUAAAAAGACCUAGUCUGAUGAACUUUCUCCUAGGAUCAAAAUCUUAGUCUGAUGAAUCUUUCUCCUAAGAUAAAAAGAAAAUCUUUCUCCUAAGAUAAAAAGAAAACCUAGUCUGAUGAAUUUUCUCAUAGGAUCAAAAUCUUAGUCUGAUGAAUCUUUCUCCUAAGAUAACAAAAAAAAGGACCUAGUCUGAUGAAUUUUCUCCUAGGAUCGAAAUCUUAGUCUGAUGAAUCUUUCUCAUAAUAUAAUAAAAAAACCUAGUCUGAUGAAUUUUCUCCUAGGGUCGAAAUCUUAGUCUGAUAAAUUUUUCUCCUAAGAUAGAAUACCUAGUCUGAUGAAUUUUCUUCUAGGAUAGAAUCUUAGUCUGAUGAAUUUUUCUCCUAACAUAGAAAACCUAGUAUGAUGAAUUUUUCUCCUAAGAUAACAACAACAACAACAACAACAAAACAACAACAACAAUAACAAAAGAGAAAAAAAGAGAAAAAAGGGACUUAGUCUGAUGAAUUUUCUCCUAGGAUCAAAAUCUAAGUCUGAUGAAUCUUUCUCCUAAGUUAGAAGACCUAGUCUGAUGAAUUUGCUAGUCAAAUAUUCUUGGUUUUAUUCACAGGAGACGCACAUCCUAGUCAAGUCUUUAGUUUUAUUCUCAUAAUUGCAUCAAUAGCAUAGGUGAUUUACAGUUUUGCUAACAACUCACCAAUCUUCCUUGGGCAAACUGGGGCAGAAAAUUUUGCUUGAUUUGUUGUUUUGAUUGCAGGAACCCACCUGGAGAAUGAGGGAAUUCGUUUCGAAAUUAUUUCAAGAUUCAAGUCAGUAGCAGGCACCCACCUGGAGAACGAGGGAAGUCAUUUAAGAAUUCAAUUCAAGUUAGAAGUAGCAGAAGCUCGUGGCAAGAAUACGAGUCAACAAUCCGAGAUGACCAGCAUAAGUAGUCUCAAUCCAAAAAAAAGAAGAAAAAGAAAGAAGAAGAAGUGAAUCCAAAAUGCAGAAGCAGAAAGAAAAAAAGAAGAAGUGUGAAUUGCUCAAGACAUGGUUGAAGUCAUGAGCGCUACAUGUCCGGUCUUGAUCCGAAAAGCUAAAGAAGAAUGAACUAGAACCUGCAGCUAGCAAACGUCAAGGUUCAAAUCUAAAGUCUGCAUGAAGAACCAUUUAAGACUCAAGAUCAAGCUUCAGAAGACUUAUAGAUAGGAAUUUUGUAACUUAUAGCUAACAUGCUUAGUUAGUCUUUUUUAUUAUUUUUUAAUUUUGAUGUAAUAACAGGACCGCGGACUAGAACCUCGACGGAAUGGUACCUCGACCGGCUCUCCACCUUAGUAUACUACAUCACCUCAUUCACUUCUGAAUACACGUGACCUGAUUUCUUUAUAGCCAAGGAUAUGUAGGCAGCUCAGAUACCAGGGCUCGGUCACAUUCUUCUUCCUCUUAGUUUUUGGUCUCGCUAAAUAAGGGUCGGGUCAAAAAACCUGUCUAGUCGUUCUUUGUCUGAAAAUACUUCAUAUUUCCAGUCAAAAAGGGGCAGCUGUAGACAUGUAAUUUUUGACCCUCCCCGAGAUUUCACCCAUUUUAGCGUAAAAUAUUUAGUUUAGGCCUAAUAUCGAUAUUUCAAGUAGUCUCGACUCUUUUACUUUAUUUUAUCAAAAAAAUGAAAAUUACAAAAAAAAAAAAAUUCUUCUUUUAGUUGCUUUUAGUUUAUUAUUUUUCGUAAAACUAAAAAAAUACAAAAAUAGUUCCAUAUUUCUCUAUUUAAUUCACGUAUUAGAUAUUUUUAGAAGGAUAUAUUACUUUGAACCUAUUUCUAUUUUAUUUUAAUAUAAUCUUUGAAAAUGCCAAAAAUAGUUUCAACUUUAAUUUGUAGUUUUAAUUUAAAUAUAAUAGUUUAUUAAAAUCAAUUGAGAUUUAUUUUAUACCUUGUUAUAGUAUUUUUAAAAAACAAAUUAAUUUUUCAGCAUUUUUCUAGCCCAAUUUAACCCUAGCCCAUGUUUUAUGUGACCCUAGUACAUAAAAGACUACACCCUUUUUCAUAUUCUUCGGGAACCUUAGACAAAAACAUACAACAAAACCCUAGAGAGCUGUUUUUGAAAGAAGGAACGACCCACCCCUAUGAUUUUGGAGCACCCAGCAGCCUUCUUCAACCUUAGAACCAAAGCAAGCUGAACCCUAAACCCUAAGAGACCACCAGCCGCCGCCAGCCUUAACGCCCAAGACUCGUCGGAAAAUGAGCACCAGUGCCGCUGGCUACAAAUCAUCCAGCCGCCAGUCAUCUUUUCCAUCUCCAGCUGUCCACCACCGGCCAUCUCGCCGGAAUUCAACCACCUCCAUACACAAACGACCUCCAUCAGCCUCCACCCUAACCCCAAUCUCCAUCAGCGACCACACCCCGCCGAACCCCACCCCAAAAAAUGACCUUAGAGACGAAGAAAAAUAGCAGCAAUUGCUGCUUCUUCAACUCCUCCUCUUACUAACCAGUGGCGAACUCGCCGGAAAAUGCACAGCCAAAUCGCCGGAAAGAAAUGGGUCACGUUGUCAUCCAAGGUUCGUCGGUCCCGGUUCGUUUGUGCAAGGAUUCACGUUCGGGUUUUGUUUUUACUUCUGUUGCUUGCCUUAUUUGAUAUGCAAAGAAAGCAAAUUUCAGUUUGUUCAAUUUGUCGUUGUUUGCGCUUGUUCGAGCUUGAAAUUUCGUCACUGACGUUUUAUUUGUCCGUGCGCUCGAUCAGAAAUUAAGUAUAAGGAAUUUGCUUGCUAAGGUUCACUCUAACCCCUUCUCAGUUGUUUCAAUGCUUGGUUACAUUUUAAUGUUGAAUAUUUUUUGCCCUGCUUGUUUGUUUUAUUUUGC
RNAcentral lists this long non-coding RNA (11378 nucleotides) under Nicotiana tabacum (common tobacco). RNAcentral describes it as "long non-coding RNA (NTAB_LNC015618)". Lineage: Eukaryota; Viridiplantae; Streptophyta; Magnoliopsida; Solanales; Solanaceae. The record is from RNAcentral.